RNAcentral lists this long non-coding RNA (3666 nucleotides) under Helicoverpa zea (corn earworm). Its description in RNAcentral is "uncharacterized LOC124639040". Lineage: Eukaryota; Metazoa; Arthropoda; Insecta; Lepidoptera; Noctuidae. The record is from RNAcentral.
CAAACAAACAAACUUACUCUUCAGCUUUAUAAUAUUAGUUAAUAUUGAGCUUAAUACAUACUUGCACAAGUUCCUAGACCUUACAACAAAAAAGAAAUACAAUAUUGUCAUACAUAUUAUAAUUAUGUACAUUAAAAUGAGCACAAGUUUAUUUUUAUACAGAAAGAAAUGCUUAUUGCUUAAUACAUACACAAUAUUAUGAAGAGUUCGGAGUUUCGACUAGAAAUCACAGUGAUUGUUUCAUUCAUUCAAUAUUUAAAAUUUAAUGCUGUUCACAUUUGAAAAGCUAAAUCAGAGCAACAUUUUUUUUCAGAGUGUGCAGUCAUAAGCAGUAAUGCUCUACCUGCCAAUAUUAAAUAUCGAUUAUCCUCUGUUGUAUUGAUUAACCUCUUACUUAUAGCAUAAUAUUUUAGAAGUCAUCAUAUAAAAAAUAGGUCUCAUAAUCAAAGUACACGUGACUGUACAGUUUUAAUUUGAUUGUUUGAUUUACUUCCAAAUAUGUCCAGCAAUUAAACUUUGUUUUAAGAAUCAGUUCGAAAUACCUUCGACCAGUAUAUGGAUCCAAAAGCUUACCUACGAUGAACACAUUUAUAUUAUAUACCAUCAAAAUGUAAUAUUUUUAUAAUGUCUUGAAAAAGCGUUGCAAUGUUUUUUGUAGUAGGCGCACAGUUCCAGACAAUUUUGAUACUGAAGUCAUCAGAUAAUUUAAGAUACCUAAUACAAAAUUUAUAAGUUUAUAAAAAUGUCUGAUUGGAUUUUGUAUAGUUUUGAUGAAAUUAGCGUUGCUUACUAAAAAUGCUUAAGCUCCAGAAUUCAGUCAAGCCAGAGUCGACAUACCAAACACCGCAUCGACAUAUAAUUUAUCACCUAUUUCGCUUGGUCUCGUGUUACAAGCGAAAAUAUGUAUAAAAGCGAGCAGUCAGUCAUUUUUAUUCUUUGCCACAUAUUAAUCUAAAUUCUGGAAAACUUAUAUUCAUGUAAAUCUGGUUUAAAUCGUAAUGACUGUGUUUAUGAAAAAACAACCCUAGUUUCUUUGAGAAUAAUACAAAUUCUGCACUAAAAACUUAUCUAUUGCGGAACUACUAGCGUCAAUUUGUAUCUCAAAAAGUUUCAAGUUGAAGACUAGGAAGUUUUUAGCUUUUAGCCGUAAAUUAAAAACAAAACCUUGCAAUAAAAGGUUGACUGGGAUAUUAUGAAAAAAUAAUUACCAAGGCUUAUUGAUAGGUAAUUUGUGUUCAAUUUUCUGAGUAGGUAAUUAUCACGUUUCUUUUCUGGAUAAAUUUUGAGAUUCUUCGUCCUCAAUCAAGAUGAAGGCAGGUACUUAUUUUCGAAAGUACAUACAUUUCUUAUAAACAAGACUGGACGCUAAAGUGAAUAUUACAAAAUAAUGUGAAAAACAUGGUGUUUGAAUAUAAAUAUUUUAGCAUGUAGAAAUCACAUUUGCGGGGUAGGUACCAUAAAUGCGACGUAAAAGUAUCUAGUGGCAUUAAAAUCUAGUUUAUUAAAAUCACAGGAUUUUGUGUUUGCCGUGUUACAAAUUCGAUAUAAAAACUACCUUUUCUAUGAUACAUAAAUUCCUUUUACAUUGCAUAAAAACAAUUCGGGCUAGAGCACCCUUAUGUAGCAUUGGUGUUUUCUUUCCGAAAACUGCGUUUGACUAAUGUUGAUACUUGUAUUUUCAGAACGACACAUUUUUUAUAGUUUUCCAUAUAAAUAUAAAGUUAUUAAUACUUCCCUAUCCACCUUAAGUGCAGCAGUGUUUAAAAUGUAAAUAACUUUCGAGUUAUCCGCAUUUGGUACAACAGAGCACUCAAUGAGAACAGGAAAGAACAAAACAAUGUGAUCGAAUAACUGGGUCUUUGGAAUGUGUUAAAUCAAAAAAAUAAAAUUACUUUUUUAAAACUAUAAAAGUAAAAAUCAGACUUUCUAAUUACCAAAUGCGAAUAUCACAGAUUGGGUUUGUACUACUGCACUUAAGGGUCGAUCGCGUUAAACUCCGUUAAAGUUAGGAGUGACAAACCUCUACAGAUAUGCACAGCCAACGCGUAACAUAAUAUGUGGAAGUAUUGGAUGAUUGAUGAGUGUGAACGAAUGUUUGUUUUGAUGAAGUCCAACGCGAUCAAGCCUCAAAACGUACGACCAUCCGAACCUCGACCGCAUCUCAUAAGACCCACGAACGUGUUAUUUCUGGAAACAAAAAUAUUUUCGAUUUAGCAACGCCAAUUAAUUUUAAUAGAUACAAAAUGUGAUUUAAUAUGAUUUAUAUGUCUCAAUAAUGACGCUGUUAAAUAAUUUUAACAUACUUACUCCGCCGACCUGGCAUUAGGCGAACAGUUAUUCCGUCAGCUGCCCGAACUGUAUUAAAAUAAAAACAAUCAAUAAAAAUAUGUACAUACAAAAAAGAAAAAAAAAAGUAUUAAAAUUGUAAAAAGAAAAAAAACACUGCAUUCCACUGCACGACAUUCUUGUUAAAGAUUAUUAAGAGCAUAAAUAAAACUUACCUUCAUAAAUAUUAUAAUUAUAGGUACUGCAAUGUAUUAAAAUCUUCAAAUAAGAUAAAAAAAAUGUACGAAUUCUUUGCCGCUUGCUCAUUUAUUGAAAAAUCCAGUAAAUGAAAAAAUGAAGUUGAGAGUAAAAAUAUGUGUACGUCAAAUGGCAAAGUAAACGUAUAAAGGGUUGUAAAGUUUUAAUAGGAUUAAAUAGCAUCACAAAAAAAUCAACAUUUGAUAAUAAACAUAUUAUUUAUUCUCUCAUAUACAAUAAAAAAAAUGGAUCACAAUUGAAAUUAUACCUAUUUAAUAACAAAGUACGCCUAAAGUCACAAUAUACAUAUAUUUCAAAUAUCUAACUUUAAAAUUAGUGCAGUGCAAACAUUUUAUAGAUAUCUACAUAUAUAAAACUGUAUAAUUUCUCUCUGAUUUUAUUAUAUUUAGUAAGGCCAAUUAUUUAUCACAUUAAUUGAAAACGCUCGAUAAAAUUUAAAUUGAAAGAAAUUAAUAAUAAUUAUUAUUUAAAAAUUAUUUCAGGUCAAUCAAUGAUAAAAAUAACAAGUCUUAAUAUUUUAAAAUAUGAAUAAAUAUAGGUAUAUUGAUAGCACUAUUUAAUAAUGGUAAUUAUUUCUGACUUUAGUGCACUUUUAUGACUUGAAUCAUGUUUAAAUCUAUGUGAAUUGUGAAGAAGUAGUGAACCCUUAAUCGUUACUUUACUCAAUAAUGGAAAGACCCUACCGCCUAUCACAGUUAAAUUCGAAUAUACAUAACAAAUAUACCUGUUUGAUUCAUUAACAUUAAUCAUUAGUCCACUAUGUUAUUGCUUGAAUAUCUGAAGGCCUGUGCAACACAGCUUAUUUAAGCCAGAUUUUAUUUUCCGAAAUGCACAUUGGGCUUCGGCCAUUCUGCCAAAAGACAAAUGCCUGUUUUAUUAGUGAAUUCGUUAUCAUGAAAACUGAGCAAGAUAAUUUGAGCAAAUUGAAGGAAAAGGCGAAUGUUUUUUUUUCAAAGGCAAUAAAUAAUUUUUAUGAUACAUUUUUGGCAAGGCGCAAUAAAAUAGUCUUUUAACGAGAUCCUGUGAUGUUCCACCGUUUGACGAGUCAACAAGUGAUGUUUAGUUUAGUCUGCCUAAUAAAAUUUAAUUAAGUAAAACAAUAAAUACAUCUCAUCUAAUAAA